This 166-nucleotide unclassified non-coding RNA is filed under the name uncultured fungus. Its description in RNAcentral is "sequence contains ITS1, 5.8S rRNA gene". Lineage: Eukaryota; Fungi. The record is from RNAcentral.
CCGAGUGAGAGCCUCCGGGCUCGACCUCCCACCCUUUGAAUUAACCAACUCUUGUUGCCUCGGGGGCGACCCGGUCGCGUCGGACUGCCGGCGUCGGCGUCGGGGCCCCCGACGGACCCCCUUCUAACGCUGCAUCUUUGCGUCGGGUUGAUCAGAAAAUCAAUCA